Artibeus jamaicensis (Jamaican fruit-eating bat) is the source of this 557-nucleotide non-coding RNA. The record is from the annotation of a RefSeq genome assembly. Lineage: Eukaryota; Metazoa; Chordata; Mammalia; Chiroptera; Phyllostomidae.
GAGGUCUAAGUUAUGGGUGAGAAGUGUCUGUAAGUGCCCGCUGGGGACUAGCCUUAUUGCAUUCGGUGUAUUCCAGGGAGCAAGGAUCAUUUUCUUCUGCCAACAUGCUUUCUGCCACCUGUUCUGUUCUUGUAAUCUUAAUACUCAGAGAGACCAGUGGAGACUCAGUGAUCCAGACAGAAGGCCCUGUUACCCUGCUUGAGGGGACAAGUGUGACCCUGAACUGCACCUAUCAGAGCAGCUACCCUGCCCUUUCCUGGUAUGUCCAGUACCUCAAUAAAGGUCCCAAGCUACUACUGAAGAGCUCAACAGAGAACCAGAAGGUGGAGAAUCAAGGGUUUCAGGCUGAGCUUGUGAAGAGGACCAGCUCCUUCCACCUAGAGAAAUCAUCACUCCAAAUGUCAGACUCAGCGGUGUACUACUGUGCUGUGGGUGACACAGUGGGACAGGCUGCAGGGGGAGCUGAGCACAAACCCAGUGGGCUGCAGGUGGGGCCUGGCUGUGGGCAGCCCCGGGAGGCAACUUGUAUUCUCCCCCUAAGCAGUGAGAGAAUAUAA